UACGUAGGGUGCGAGCGUUAAUCGGAAUUACUGGGCGUAAAGCGUGCGCAGGCAGCUUGCUAAGCUUGCUGUGAAAGCCCCGGGCUUAACCUGGGAAUUGCAGUGAGGACUGGCUGGCUGGAGUGUGGCAGAGGGGGGUGGAAUUCCACGUGUAGCAGUGAAAUGCGUAGAGAUGUGGAGGAACACCGAUGGCGAAGGCAGCCCCCUGGGCUAACACUGACGCUCAGGCACGAAAGCGUGGGGAGCAAAC
This 250-nucleotide ribosomal RNA is filed under the name uncultured bacterium. Its description in RNAcentral is "partial 16S ribosomal RNA". It matches the Rfam family "Bacterial small subunit ribosomal RNA", at positions 524 to 773 of the family's 1533-position model. The record is from RNAcentral.